Molecule: ribosomal RNA, 292 nt
Filed under: uncultured bacterium
Lineage: Bacteria
Description: partial 16S ribosomal RNA
Source: RNAcentral
GGACUACCGGGGUAUCUAAUCCUGUUUGCUCCCCACGCUUUCGCGUCUCAGCGUCAGUCACUGUCCAGAAGGCCGCCUUCGCCACCGGUGUUCCUCUCGAUAUCUACGAAUUUCACCUCUACACCGAGAAUUCCGCCUUCCUCUCCAGGACUCCAGCUCGCCAGUUUCGAGUGCGCUUCCUAGGUUGAGCCCAGGGCUUUCACACCCGACAUUGCGAGCGGCCUACACGCGCUUUACGCCCAGUAAUUCCGAACAACGUUUGCACCCUCUGUCUUACCGCGGCGGCUGGCAC